Oncorhynchus tshawytscha (Chinook salmon) is the source of this 2846-nucleotide long non-coding RNA. Lineage: Eukaryota; Metazoa; Chordata; Actinopteri; Salmoniformes; Salmonidae. The record is from Ensembl.
CCUCCUCCUCUGCCCAGAACAUAAAAAGUAGCCACUGAUGUUGAAAGGCACUCUCUUUUUAUUUGUCUAAGUAAACAGCCACAUCGUUCACUGUGAUUACAAUUGCCGAGGAACACAAUCAGAAGGUUGAGUUUGAUCAAUGGCUUGCACUACCUUUAGAUCAGGGCUUACCAAACUUUUCACUCAGGCCCCCCUUGCAGCAUUGGGGAAUGGAGAACACACCUGCAAUUCUACACAUUUGUCAUGGGGUGCACAGAAUUUUGCUGUUUCAAAGCAAAUGUUCUUGCAAUUCUAUACAUUUUGCCAUGUCUAAUGUGUAUUCAUGUGAUAUUUGAGUGACUCAAACAGUAACAACAAAAUCUAUGGGCAAAAAAUCCUGGCUAAAAAAAGUUAGCUGACAUGGGAUAGUUGAUCUGGACAAUUACAAAUAGCUCUCUAAGGUCUGCAAUGACUGACAUGGGAUAGUUGAUCUGGACAUUUACAAAUAGUUCUCUAAGGUAUGCAAUGACUGACAUGGGAUAGUUGAUCUGGACAUUUACAAAUAGCUCUCUAAGGUAUGCAAUGACUGACAUGGGAUAGUUGAUCUGGACAUUUACAAAUAUCUCUCUAAGGUAUGCAAUGACUGACAUGGGAUAGUUGAUCUGGACAUUUACAAAUAUCUCUCUAAGGUAUGCAAUGACUGACAAUGACAAGAGGAAAACUGAUGAUGCACUACCCUAUUACAACUUUUAAGAGUAUUUCAUUUUUUUAUUUUGUAUUUAACCUUUAUUUAACUAGGCAAGUUAGUUAAGAACAAACUCUUAUUUACAACGACAGCCUACAGUUGAAAGUAAGUUGAAAGCUGGACUGACUUCCUUUUUUAAUUUUUUUUUAAAGUUUGGGAACCAUGUGUUGGCAUGGCAUGAGUGGGGAGAGACGGAGUUGGAAAGUGGGUUCUCCAAUGAGAAUUUCGAUCCCGGUGUGGCUUUGUAACACGUGAGUUAUCUGAGCUGCACUGAAAAGUAAUUCAGUUUUGUAGAAAAUACUGCAUUUGUUUAGACACGGACACAGAAGAGAUUUGAGGUACAGUAAUACAGUAUGUGAGAAAUCAAUACUUUUUUUCAAUAAAGGUGACAGCUUUAUGUCCAAAGAUAUAUCUAUAUUUAUGUCAGUCAAUUCUAUACUUUGUGACAUCAAGUUAUAGUACAUGAUAUUCUGCUAGUAAUGUCAUUGUGACUAUGGGGUUUUCUCUGUAUCACAUCAACAAUGCAUCGAACAAUUCAUCAUUUUGUCACAUCUAUCCGAUAAUGGAAUCUUGCUUUUGUGACAUCAUACUUAAAUGAAUUAUUUUUGUGACCUUCAUUUAAUCAUUUUUAGAAUGCCGAUUGGGUCUUUGCGUGUCAAAAAAGAUACGCAUCAAAUAAAACUAUAUGACACGUCAAAUAACACAAUUCUAUUAUAGAAUGUUGUGUGUGCUGUAUUUGCAUGUGCAAGCCAAGCGAAGAUACAGAUGUUAUUAGCAACUAGCUAGCUUUAGCAACUAGCUAGCUUUAGCUUGGUACCUAGCUGGCACCAAUGCAACCACCCUGAAAACAACAUUUUCACUAUUCUUAGCAAUAAUUUAGGAAUCCAUGUGAGUAAGUAUUAGCUAGGUAGCCACUUGUUUUUCUCCUAUUGAAAUCGAACUUCAGUUCAUGAAAAUAACUAGCUAGCCAGCUACUUACUUAGCCCUGUUGCCCAAAGCUAACGUUAUAAACAGCAAGCUAGCUUAAUAUAGCUAGUGAGGCUUGAACGGACCUGUUGUGAAGCUAGCCACAAUAAGGAUUAGCCACACUAGUGCAAUUUGCGGUUCGACUGCAAAAUAAAAGUCCCUUUGAAAGUGACGCAGAAGGUUACAAUUACAUAUUUAGACUAGAUAAUGUUGAACAAGUUUGAAGUGUUGGAAUGUGGAGCAAUGAAAUUGGGUAUCAGUCUACUCAUUGACACCCACAGAAUAUAACUGUGAAGAGUUUAUGUAAAUAUUAGCAUUGUAGCUUUUAUGGGAACUAUAGUACCCUUUCAAGCUCAUCAUUAAGCUCGGGGCCCAGGGUCUGAACUCCACCCUGUGCAACUGGGUCUUGGACUUCCUGAUGGGCCGCACCCAGGCGGUGAAGGUUAUGAAACAACACCGCCACUUCGCUGAUCCUCAACACGGGUGCUCAGCACUGAGCGUGCUCAGCCCCCUCCCGUACUUCCUUUUCAACCAUGACUGCGUGGCCAUGCACGCCUUCAACUCAGUCAUCAACUUUGCAGACGACACAAAAGUAGUAGGCCUGAUUACCAACAAUGAUGAGACACCCUACAGGGAGGAGGUGAGGGCCCUGGCGGAGUGGUGCUAGGAAAAUAACCUCAACAUCAACAUAACGAAGGAGUUGAUCGUGGACUUUAGGAAAAGGCAGAGGGAGCACGUCCCUAUCCACAUUGACGGGACAACAGUGGAGAAGGUGGAAAGCUUCCUCAGCGUACACAUCACUUAUGACCUGAAAUGGUCCAACCACACAGACAGUGGUGUGGAGAAGAAGCUGCAACAGCACCUCUUCAACCUCAGGAGGCUGAAGAAAUGCAGCUAUGCUCCCAAAACCCUCAGAAACUUUUACAGAUGCACAUUUGAGAGCAUCCUGUCAGGCUGUAUCACCGCCUGGUACGGCGACUGCACCGCCCGCACCUGCAGGGCUCUCCAGAGGGUGGUACGGUCUGCCCUACGCAUCCCCAGGGGCACACUGCCUGCCCUCCAAGACACCUACAGCACCCGAUGUCAUAGGAAGGCCAAAAAGAUCAUCAAGGACAUCAACCACCUGAGCCACGGCCUGUUCACCCCACUAUCAUCC